RNAcentral lists this ribosomal RNA (430 nucleotides) under uncultured Bacilli bacterium. RNAcentral describes it as "bacterial SSU rRNA". It matches the Rfam family "Bacterial small subunit ribosomal RNA", at positions 170 to 586 of the family's 1533-position model. The record is from RNAcentral. Lineage: Bacteria; Bacillati; Bacillota; Bacilli.
CGCAUAGAUCCAAGAACCGCAUGAUUCUUGGCUGAAAGAUGGCGUAAGCUAUCGCUUUUGGAUGGACCCGCGGCGUAUUAGCUAGUUGGUGAGGUAACGGCUCACCAAGGCGAUGAUACGUAGCCGAACUGAGAGGUUGAUCGGCCACAUUGGGACUGAGACACGGCCCAAACUCCUACGGGAGGCAGCAGUAGGGAAUCUUCCACAAUGGACGCAAGUCUGAUGGAGCAACGCCGCGUGAGUGAAGAAGGCUUUCGGGUCGUAAAACUCUGUUGUUGGAGAAGAAUGGUCGGCAGAGUAACUGUUGUCGGCGUGACGGUAUCCAACCAGAAAGCCACGGCUAACUACGUGCCAGCAGCCGCGGUAAUACGUAGGUGGCAAGCGUUAUCCGGAUUUAUUGGGCGUAAAGCGAGCGCAGGCGGUUUUUUAA